GCAAAUCAAAAGCAUCUUUAGCAAGUGAGGCUACUUUGCCUCUGUGCUAGGGCACAGGCCGGAAUGGAUUUCACACACCAUCACAAGAUAGAUAACAAACAAAGCCUUAGAAAUUAUUGGUUAUCUAAUCUGUUACCUGUUUCUCUAGAGCAAACUUGCAAUAUGCUCUUCCAAUCAAUACAAAAAGAAAACAAACAUACAGAAAAGAAAAGAAGAAUAAAUACUACUGCAGACAUGUGCAAUGCAAAACAAGUACUGAAAUAAAGGAGCUCUUGCACAUAUCUCUCUGCCCAACCUUUAAUCUAAUUUGAUGCCUGUCUUUUGUGAGAAGGAAGCGUGACAGUGCUGCCUUUUCAGUCUUUCCAAACCACCAUCAGUAGAAUUGCUAUUUUUUUUCCAAAAAGCGAAAGUUUUUAUGCUAACAAUCAUCAUAAAUAGCAGUGUGUAGAACAUGAUAGGCCACUUUGCCCUAGUUACACCAGCAUCCCGGCCAGACCAACCACAAAUGUGGCUCUGCCCCUUCUUGCAACAAAUGAUCAGAUCCAGAGCAAGUACUUCAGAAACUUCCAUUCAUCGGGAUCCGGGUGCGGGCGUCGCCACCUACGCUCGGCCUGGUGAUCUUCCUGACUCUCCAGCUCCCCUAGAAGAAUGCAGAACUGUGAGCCAUUGGAAACUAGAGUAAGGGAAUGGAUUGGAACACCCUGCAGUUGUGUUCAAGCCAUCAAGGUGACUUAUACUCUGCAGCAUUGAGCUUUUUAUGAACCAAUAGCUAAUUAUUAACGGCAUAGUAGGGUUUACUUUGUUUAAUUUGACUGCCUCAGCUGAUUGUUGACUAAUCAUUUCGAGUAUGAUAAGUGCAUGCAGGGUACUCAUUAGGGGAGUGUGGCUAGAUUUGCCUUGUAAAGUGUUAGCUUACUGGUAUCAUCAUGGGAGCAGGGGAUAUGCAGGUGCAAUGAGGACAGAGUGUAAUAAUCUUUUCAGUGUUGGCAUCUUAGUAUAUAUCAUCACGAACUUAUGACAUUUGAAUUAUGAAAUUAAAAGUAAACCUUACAUUUGGAUAUAACAGGAUUUACUCAAUAAAGAACUUAUAACAUGGAGACCUUGUUUAGUAAAUCAAUGCCCUGAAAUCAGAAGUUAAGCAAGCUCUUCUUUACUAUAAUUUAUCACAUUUGAUUUAGUCUAUUGUCUACACCAAAAGCAUGAGAAAGACAAUUAGGAAUUAGGGGUGGGUGGAAGGACAUGGCCAAUAUCAUGAACUUCCCAUCUUCUGCCUUCUUCUUUUUUUCAGAAUUUGGUUUCAAAUGAGAAUUCGGGAGGUCAAUGGAAGGACAUGACCAUAGAAUUGAAUACCAUGCUAUUACUUCUUUUACACUUUGGUGUGAAACUGUGAAAUCAGAGUAUCAAGAGAUCUAUGGAAGGGCAUGAAGAUAGGAACUUGAUUGAUAAGUUGAGACUUCUUAGGCAUUCAGCAUGAAAUUUUCCUUGGAGAAGAACCCAGAGCUUUCCCUAAAAAGAAAUUUAAAAAGAACACAGAGAGAGAAAGCAGCAGAAGCCAUGUUUGCAUGCAAGAAAUAGAUGCAUGGUACCUGUUGUGGAUUGGAUCCGGUCCAUUGGGCACCCUCCUCUUGCUGUUGCUCAAAGGAUCAUCACCAUCCCUCAAGUCAUCCAAUGUCCUCCUCUGAUCA
RNAcentral lists this long non-coding RNA (1685 nucleotides) under Setaria viridis. RNAcentral's name for it is "long non-coding RNA (SVIR_LNC001320)". The record is from RNAcentral. Lineage: Eukaryota; Viridiplantae; Streptophyta; Magnoliopsida; Poales; Poaceae.